This 1967-nucleotide ribosomal RNA is filed under the name human gut metagenome. RNAcentral describes it as "bacterial LSU rRNA". It matches the Rfam family "Bacterial large subunit ribosomal RNA", at positions 1 to 1983 of the family's 2925-position model. The record is from RNAcentral.
GUAAAUAAUAAAGGGCGUAUGGUGGAUGCCUAGGCUCUCAGAGGCGAUGAAGGACGUGAUAAGCUGCGAAAAGCUCCGUUUAGGUGCAAAUAACCUUUGAUGCGGAGAUCUCCGAAUGGGAUAACCCAAUAUGUUGAAGACAUAUUAUACCGUAAGGUAGGCAAACGCAGGGAACUGAAACAUCUAAGUACCUGCAGGAGAAGAAAACAAACGUGAUUCCCCCAGUAGCGGCGAGCGACCGGGGAAAAGCCCAAACCGUUAUUGUUUCGGCAUUAACGGGGUAGUAGGACUGCAAGCUUGAUGAAAUAAAUGAAAUGGAACACCUUGGAAAAUGUGAUCACAGAGGGUGAUAAUCCCGUACAUGCAAGUUUAUGAAUCAUAGCAGACUCCUGAGUAAGUCGGGACACGUGUAAUCCUGACCGAAUCCGCCGGGACCAUCCGGCAAGGCUAAAUACUCCUGAGAGACCGAUAGUGAACCAGUACCGUGAGGGAAAGGUGAAAAGCACUUCGAACAGAAGAGUGAAAUAGUCCCUGAAACCGUGCGCCUACAAGCGGUCGGAGCUCGUUAAUGAGUGACGGCGUGCCUUUUGCAUAAUGAGCCUACGAGUUACUCAUCACCAGCGAGGUUAAGUACUUCAGGUACGUAAGCCGAAGCGAAAGCGAGUCUGAAUAGGGCGUCAAGUUGGUGGUGGUAGACGCGAAACCUUAGUGAUCUACCCAUGGGCAGGGUGAAGGUUUGGUAACACAAACUGGAGGCCCGAACCGGUAAACGUUGAAAAGUUUUCGGAUGACCUGUGGGUAGGGGUGAAAGGCCAAUCAAACUGGGAAAUAGCUCGUACUCUCCGAAAUGCAUUUAGGUGCAGCCUCUGUUGUUUUGUUCUAGAGGUAGAGCUACUGAUUGGAUGCGAGGGCUUCACCGCCUAUCAAAUCCGGCCAAACUCCGAAUGCUAGAACAUGAAGACAGGGAGUGAGCCAGCGGGUGCUAAGGUCCGUUGACGAAAGAGGGAGAACUCAGACCAUCAGCUAAGGUCCCCAAUUAUAUGCUAAGUUGGAAUUAAAACGGGGUGGGACUGCUUAGACAGCUAGGAUGUUGGCUUGGAAGCAGCCAUUCAUUUAAAGAGUGCGUAACAGCUCACUAGUCGAGCGGUCCUGCAUGGAUAAUACGCGGGCAUAAGCAUAUAACCGAAGCUAUGGGAUUGUAGAUGAUACAAUCGGUAGGAGAGCAUUCCAUUCAGCAUAGAAGCAGUAUCGUGAGGUAUUGUGGAGCGGAUGGAAAAGCAAAUGUAGGCAUAAGUAACGAUAAUGCGGGUGAGAACCCCGCACGCCGAAAGAUCAAGGAUUCCCCGGCAAUGUCAAUCAUCCGGGGGUAAGUCGGAUCCUAAGGGUAAGCCGAGUGGCGAUCCCGAUGGCAAACAGGUUAAUAUUCCUGUACUGAUCAUAACUGCGAUGCAGCGACGCAGAGGUGACACUGCUGCGUACUGACGGAAUAGUACGUUGAAACCCGUAUUCUUUGAUACCGGUAGUGAAGCACGCCGGUAGAGAUGAAAGGUGAUAGUACCGCAAUGCUUCGGUUGCGCGGAUAACGCAGGUAAGCUGACUGCCAAGAAAACCUGCUAAGCUUCAGGUAAUGAUCAUCCGUACUGUAAACGGACACACGUGAUCAGGUAGAAAAUACUAAGGCGCUCGAGAGAUUCAUGGUUAAGGAACUAGGCAAAAUGGUCCUGUAACUUCGGGAUAAAGGACGCUCUUGUGAAAGAGCCGCAGAUAAUAGGCCCAGGCGACUGUUUACCAAAAACACAUGGCUAUGCUAAUUCGCAAGAAGAUGUAUAUGGCCUGACACCUGCCCGGUGCCGGAAGGUUAAGAGGAGAGCUCAGAGGCAACUCGAAGGUUUGAAUUGAAGCCCCGGUAAACGGCGGCCGUAACUAUAACGGUCCUAAGGUAGCGAAAUUCCUUGUCGGGUAAGUUC